RNAcentral lists this non-coding RNA (20 nucleotides) under Arabidopsis thaliana (thale cress). The record is from RNAcentral. RNAcentral also lists the same sequence under 2 other names. Lineage: Eukaryota; Viridiplantae; Streptophyta; Magnoliopsida; Brassicales; Brassicaceae.
GUGGUAGUAGCAAAUAUUCA